This 793-nucleotide ribosomal RNA is filed under the name Streptomyces sp. Its description in RNAcentral is "bacterial SSU rRNA". It matches the Rfam family "Bacterial small subunit ribosomal RNA", at positions 56 to 864 of the family's 1533-position model. The record is from RNAcentral. Lineage: Bacteria; Bacillati; Actinomycetota; Actinomycetes; Kitasatosporales; Streptomycetaceae.
UGCAGUCGACGAUGAACCGCUUUCGGGCGGGGAUUAGUGGCGAACGGGUGAGUAACACGUGGGCAAUCUGCCCUGCACUCUGGGACAAGCCCUGGAAACGGGGUCUAAUACCGGAUAUGACUGUCCAUCGCAUGGUGGAUGGUGUAAAGCUCCGGCGGUGCAGGAUGAGCCCGCGGCCUAUCAGCUUGUUGGUGAGGUAGUGGCUCACCAAGGCGACGACGGGUAGCCGGCCUGAGAGGGCGACCGGCCACACUGGGACUGAGACACGGCCCAGACUCCUACGGGAGGCAGCAGUGGGGAAUAUUGCACAAUGGGCGAAAGCCUGAUGCAGCGACGCCGCGUGAGGGAUGACGGCCUUCGGGUUGUAAACCUCUUUCAGCAGGGAAGAAGCGAAAGUGACGGUACCUGCAGAAGAAGCGCCGGCUAACUACGUGCCAGCAGCCGCGGUAAUACGUAGGGCGCAAGCGUUGUCCGGAAUUAUUGGGCGUAAAGAGCUCGUAGGCGGCUUGUCACGUCGGUUGUGAAAGCCCGGGGCUUAACCCCGGGUCUGCAGUCGAUACGGGCAGGCUAGAGUUCGGUAGGGGAGAUCGGAAUUCCUGGUGUAGCGGUGAAAUGCGCAGAUAUCAGGAGGAACACCGGUGGCGAAGGCGGAUCUCUGGGGCGAUACUGACGCUGAGGAGCGAAAGCGUGGGGAGCGAACAGGAUUAGAUACCCUGGUAGUCCACGCCGUAAACGGUGGGCACUAAGUGUGGGCAACAUUCCACGUUGUCCGUGCCGCAGCUAACGCAUUAAG